This is a long non-coding RNA of Pteropus alecto (black flying fox), 2149 nucleotides long. RefSeq lists it as uncharacterized. The transcript is spliced from 3 exons. The record is from RefSeq and is a predicted model, not a curated record. NCBI's taxonomy places the organism in Eukaryota, Metazoa, Chordata, Mammalia, Chiroptera, Pteropodidae.
CGACCCGGCUUUGUUCGCGCCAGCUGCUCCGCACACGUCGGGGAGGGGAGCGCGGGCAGCGGAGUCCCUGGGCUACUACUGGGCGGGCGAGCGGGGCGAGUCCCCAGACCCGCCAGCGCCAGCCGUGGCCCUGUCCCUGCCCCCGCCCCACCACGCCGGACCCUGAGCCGCGCCUGGGGGACCCACGCGCUCACGGGGCAGGCAGAAGGCGCGGGAGGAUGGAAAUGAGCUGCAGGAUCACCCUCUGCGCCGUGGGAGAGCCCACUGGGCUUGCGGGGUCAGCGCCAGGGCGGGAGCGAGGCGGGCUGGCCCUGGAUCCCCAGGCCCCGCAUCCCCAGCCCCUGGCGCUCCCCCCUGCGGCGGGACCUGUAACAACGCUAUAGUUUUCCACCGAGACCAGCGCGUCUCCACUGCUCCCGGGCCGGAACCUGGGUCUCGCAACUCAUCGCAAACGGGCCCUGGGGAGCCGCGGCCGCUCUGCCAACUGAGUUCAGAAUGAACGAACGGGGAAGGGCAGCCUGGGUGCCGUCCUGCUCAGGGGACAGAAAGCUCCUGGUUUCAGCCAGCUCCUUAAUGAAGCAAACAACGGCGAUAAUACUGGUGAAAGCAGCAGCUAUUUCCUGAGCGCGUGGACCGUGCCGGGCCCUGCGCUGAGAGCCUGAGCAUCAUCUCCGCAGCCCUGGCAACCACACCAGGCGCCGCUCCCGUGCCACAGGCCAGCGAGCUGAGGCACCAGUGGCCGAGUGACCCGGCCCGGCACACCGCCAGGCGGGGAGGUUGGCAGCCAGGUUUGCGUGACUCCAGACACUGACAGCUCUGGAGGGCUGGGGGCAGGCCUGACGCGGAGCAGCGUCUCAAAAGCUGGGUCCCCAGCUAAGGGGGCAAGAGCCUCUGGCCCCGGGAAGCAGGCAGGACACAUUUCAGGAGGCGGGUCUGCACAGCCGCUGGAGGGAGCGGGACGGGUGUCACGGUCGGACCCCACGCUCCUGACCGCCCUGCAGAGGGACUUUCCCGCUCUCCUGCUGGGCAGGGCCACAGGUGCUGCCUGGAAAUCCUCCGAGGGGCUGCGUCCCUCCCUAAUGGCUGUAACCUAAUCCGCGGUUCCUUGGGUGUGGCUCCUGAAGCAGGUGUCCCUCCCCACUGCCAUGGUGAGGUGGCUGGGCACCUGGAGUCUGGCAGGACGAUGGCCAAGCGAGUGCAGGUCCUGGGGGCACCUGCACUUACUUCCGGGGACUCAGCUCGGGGCGCCUGCUCUGCCGGCCGCCACGGCCCCGGCCUCGGCAAACCCGCGGUGCCUCCAAGCUGCACAGGUUUGCUCAGCUGCCUGCGAAGUCCAAGUUCGCUCACCGGCUUAGCACUGUCUCUGUGACCCCCUCCGUCUAGAAGCCUCUCAAGUGUGAUCCGGCCUGAGGUCAGCAUCGCCGAGUCGUGUAAAGUCAUAGCUUGAUGGACUCACACUGGAACGAAUGGCCGCUGCUACGGCUGAGUCCCUCAGGCCUCCCCGCGGGUGACAGGCAGCUGGCCGGUGCUGGCGAUGGAAGGGAGCUGCCAGCCCAGCAGGGGACCCGAGGGCUGGCCUGGCCAGGCCAUGCUUCCGCUUCCUCCUCGUCUCAUCCAGCCGGGGUGUGGACAGAGGCUACGACAAUGCUCCCUCUCCUGUCACGUGGCCUCCUGUUCCCAGGAAAAGGCCCGUCGCCCACUUAGGCACAUACAGUAACCCUCAGAACCUUGCUUUGUUCUGGGACAUCCGGCUGUUCGCCUGGCCGCACGUGGUUGCCGUGGGUGCGGUGGCGGCCGUGGGCAAGACGGGGUCUCCACCUCGGCAGAUCCACAAACCAAAUGCUGAGUGAGAAAGACAAGUAAGGUCACAUAGGCCUCCCUCUGGCUCAGGACCCCCCCAGCAUCCCAGCUCCCCCCACAUGCAAGGAUGGACGCAGGACAGGCCGCCCACUGGACUACCGUCAAGACUUCCACCGCUGUCACUGACCCUCCCCGGGCGAGAUGCCCCAGCACGCGAUGGGGGACAAGCCCUUCGCCUCGAUGCCCCAGCUGGCCUUCCCCAGCCCGCCGCCGGCCCUGGACGAGGAACACGGCUGCCCCUGCCCCAGCCGGCACGUGUCCCUGGACCUGCCUCUGAGCCGGGGCGCCC